Molecule: long non-coding RNA, 291 nt
Filed under: Astyanax mexicanus (Mexican tetra)
Lineage: Eukaryota; Metazoa; Chordata; Actinopteri; Characiformes; Acestrorhamphidae
Description: lncRNA (ENSAMXG00005012335.1)
Source: RNAcentral
AAACACAUUCAGUGAUGUUGAGGUUCAGGAUGGUCAGUCAGUCCAUUGGUAUUGUCUUAAUUUGUAACAGUGAUCUGGAAAUAGGGAGAAAGAAGCAGAAGAAUAAGAAGACAAGAAAAGACAAAGCCACUAAACCUCUACAUAGGUUUAGUCUACAAGACAAGUCAGUACAGACAGGAUGCAGAUUCAGACCAGCCUACUCCUUUAAUAUACGUACUCCCUUCUCAAAGACCAAGCUUACUGUCUCAGACUGCCUUCAUUGAGUUUACAACGCAGCGCAGGACCAGAAGC